UUGGACGUGGUGCAUGGUGUACGCCUGCUCUCCCUGAGGUCGCAAGUUCUAAAGGGGUUACGUGGGAAGCCUGGGUUCGACUCCCAGCGUCCGAA
Molecule: non-coding RNA, 95 nt
Organism: Mycena rosella
Lineage: Eukaryota; Fungi; Basidiomycota; Agaricomycetes; Agaricales; Mycenaceae
Source: the annotation of a GenBank genome assembly